RNAcentral lists this long non-coding RNA (975 nucleotides) under Carica papaya (papaya). Lineage: Eukaryota; Viridiplantae; Streptophyta; Magnoliopsida; Brassicales; Caricaceae. The record is from RNAcentral.
UGUAUUUGCAGCGCUAAAUUAAACAAGUGCGAUCAUAUUAGCACUAAUGCACCGGAUCCCAUCAGAACUCCGUAGUUAAUUGUGCUUGGGCGAGACUAGUACUCAGAUGGGUGACCUCUUGGGAAGUCCUCGUGUCGUACAAAUUUUUUUUCAGACGGGUCGUUCGACGUUACGCGCGACUGGAACUAUGGUCCGCUGGUUUAUACGCAAAUGUGAGUCAAGAAGCAGGGGCACUUUAAUUGAUAUUAGAACGAGAAGGAGAGGUGCAGUGUGAACGCACAAGGAAACAAAUAAUCAGAGGGGGGAGGGAAGGAGAAGGAGUGUAUGUAUUUUCAGCACGAAAUGAAACAGGUACGAUAAUACCAGCACAAAUGCAUCGGAUCUUAUCAGAACUCCGCAGUUAAGUGUGCUUUGGAAAAAGUAGUACAUGGAUGGGUUACUUCCUGGGAAGUUCUCGUGUUGCACCCUUUUUUUUUUCAAAUGGGUUGUUCGACGUUACGCGCGACUGGAACUAUGGUCCGCUGGUUUAUACGCAAAUGUGAGUCAAGAAACAGGAGCAUUUUAAUUGAUAUUAGAACGAGAAGGAGAGGUGAAGUGUGAACGCACCAGGAAACAAAUGACGGGAGGGAGAAGAAUGGAGAAGGAGUGUAUGUAUUUGCAGCGCGAAAUGAAACAAGUGCAAUCAUACCAGCACUAAUGCACCGGAUUCCAUCAGAACUACGCAGUAAAGUGUGCAUGGGUGGGAGUAGUACUCGGAUGGGUGACCUCCUGGGAAGUCCUCGUGUUGCACCCAUUUUUUUUCGGAUGGGUCGUUCGAUGUUACGCGCGAAUGGAAUUAUGAACCGCUGGUUCAUUUGCAAAGGUGAGUCACGGUGCCGGGACAUUUUACUUUAUAUUAGAACGAGAAGGAGAGAUGCAGAGUUCACGCGCAAGGAAACAAAUGACGGGAGGGGGGAUGGAAGGAGAAAACGUGUA